This 1168-nucleotide ribosomal RNA is filed under the name Exobasidium rhododendri. Its description in RNAcentral is "LSU rRNA". It matches the Rfam family "Eukaryotic large subunit ribosomal RNA", at positions 91 to 1448 of the family's 3401-position model. Lineage: Eukaryota; Fungi; Basidiomycota; Exobasidiomycetes; Exobasidiales; Exobasidiaceae. The record is from RNAcentral.
GAGUGAAGCGGGAUGAGCUCAAAUUUGAAAGCUGGCAGCAAUGUCCGCGUUGUAAUCUCGAGAGAUGUUUUCCGCGCUGGACCACGUACAAGUUCCUUGGAAUAGGAUGUCAUAGAGGGUGAAAAUCCCGUACUUGAUGUGGACGCCCAGUGCUUUGUGAUACGUCUUCGAAGAGUCGAGUUGUUUGGGAAUGCAGCUCAAAAUGGGUGGUAAAUUCCAUCUAAAGCUAAAUAUUGGGGAGAGACCGAUAGCGAACAAGUACCGUGAGGGAAAGAUGAAAAGCACUUUGGAAAGAGAGUUAAACAGUACGUGAAAUGUUUGAAGUCAGACGUGUACUGCAGUAUUCAGCCUUGCUUUUGCUUGGUGUAUUUGCUGUAGUACAGGCUAACAUCAGUUUUGAGUGACGGAUAAGGGUAGAGAGAAUGUGGCAUCCUCGGAUGUGUUAUAGCUCUUUACUGGAUACGUCGUUUGGGACUGAGGAACGCAGCGCGCCGCAAGGCAGACCCUCGGGUACUUUCGCGCUUAGGAUGUUGGCGUAAUGGCUUUAAGUGACCCGUCUUGAAACACGGACCAAGGAGUCUAACAUGUCUGCGAGUUUUUGGGUGGCAAACCCGUGAGCGCAAUGAAAGUGAAUGCAGGUGGGAUCCGCAAGGAGCACCAUCGACCGAUCUUGAUCUUUAGUGACGGAUUUGAGUAAGAGCAUAUAUGUUGGGACCCGAAAAAUGGUGAACUAUGCCUGAAUAGGGUGAAGCCAGAGGAAACUCUGGGAGGCUCGUAGCGGUUCUGACGUGCAAAUCGAUCGUCAAAUUUGGGUAUAGGGGCGAAAGACUAAUCGAACCAUUAACAGUAGAACCUACUAAGUGGUUAAGAGGGAGCUGAAAAGGUAUCCCUAGUCGGCAGUCGUAAAACCACUGUGCGGCGACAUUGUCAAUUUGCGGGAACGUCCUAAAGACUUUGCUACCGCGGUUCAUCGAAAGAUCGAAUGCAGCACCAGGGUAACGACCUCGGGUAUGGUAAAAACGCAAAUGUAUGUUACAAUGGAUAAUCCGCAGCCAAGUUCUACGGGCGCAAGCCUAUGAAUGCAGUUCAGAGACUAUAUGGCAAUGGGUUGUGCUUUUCGGAGCACGGCUUAAGAUAGAGUCCAACCUCCCGCGAAAUCGGGCUCAGA